Molecule: unclassified non-coding RNA, 336 nt
Filed under: soil metagenome
Description: partial contains 5.8S ribosomal RNA, internal transcribed spacer 2, and large subunit ribosomal RNA
Rfam family: 5.8S ribosomal RNA (bases 1-120)
Source: RNAcentral
GAUGAAGAACGCAGCGAAAUGCGAUAAGUAAUGUGAAUUGCAGAAUUCAGUGAAUCAUCGAAUCUUUGAACGCACAUUGCGCCCGGUAGUAUUCUGCCGGGCAUGCCUGUUCGAGCGUCAUUUCAACCAUCAAGCCCCCGGCUUGUGUUGGGGACCUGCGGCUGCCGCAGGCCCUGAAAAGCAGUGGCGGGCUCGCUGUCACACCGAGCGUAGUAGAUUUCAUCUCGCUCAGGGCGUGCUGCGGGUUCCGGCCGUUAAACCACCUUCAUAACCCAAGGUUGACCUCGGAUCAGGUAGGAAGACCCGCUGAACUUAAGCAUAUCAAUAAGCGGAGGA